Molecule: long non-coding RNA, 305 nt
Filed under: Hordeum vulgare
Lineage: Eukaryota; Viridiplantae; Streptophyta; Magnoliopsida; Poales; Poaceae
Description: long non-coding RNA (HVUL_LNC003377)
Source: RNAcentral
GAGUCCCCCCUAUGCAAACUGGCAAAAACAUCUCGCAAUGAGCGUAGGGAUUGCUUUGUGAUGACUGAAAACGCUCUACCUCGGUUUACGCUCCUUAUUGGAGGGAGUAUGUGAAACUUGAAAUCAAGAAGAUUUUUGGGAAUGUCUACUAGUCGGUCGCCAAAUAAUAUGCGCGUUUCCACGAAGCACGAGACAGAAGUUUAGCUUGAAGGAAGGGCUACACUUUGUUGAGAACAUAUCAUGUGCAAUCAGAAAAUAUUCGGAGGCCUAUGUCUUGCCUAUUGUGAAAUGGUAGUCCGUUUGGG